RNAcentral lists this transfer RNA (76 nucleotides) under Chloroflexota bacterium. RNAcentral describes it as "Chloroflexi bacterium tRNA-Asn". It matches the Rfam family "tRNA". Rfam says of the family: Transfer RNA (tRNA) molecules are approximately 80 nucleotides in length. Their secondary structure includes four short double-helical elements and three loops (D, anti-codon, and T loops). Lineage: Bacteria; Bacillati; Chloroflexota. The record is from RNAcentral. RNAcentral also lists the same sequence under 1 other name.
UCCGGGAUAGCUCAACCGGUAGAGCAGGCGGCUGUUAACCGCAAGGUUCGGGGUUCGAAUCCCCGUCCCGGAGCCA